Molecule: ribosomal RNA, 443 nt
Filed under: uncultured bacterium
Lineage: Bacteria
Description: partial 16S ribosomal RNA
Rfam family: Bacterial small subunit ribosomal RNA
Source: RNAcentral
CCUACGGGGUGCAGCAGUGGGGAAUAUUGGACAAUGGGGGGAACCCUGAUCCAGCGACGCCGCGUGAGUGAAGAAGUAUUUCGGUAUGUAAAGCUCUAUCAGCAGGGAAGAAAGAAAUGACGGUACCUGACUAAGAAGCCCCGGCUAACUACGUGCCAGCAGCCGCGGUAAUACGUAGGGGGCAAGCGUUAUCCGGAUUUACUGGGUGUAAAGGGAGCGUAGACGGCGAUGCAAGUCUGAAGUGAAAGGCGGGGGCCCAACCCCCGGACUGCUUUGGAGACUGGAUGGCUGGAGUGCAGGAGAGGUAGGUGGAAUUCCUGGUGUAGCGGUGAAAUGCGUAGAGAUUAGGAGGAACACCAGUGGCGAAGGCGGCUUACUGGACUAUAACUGACGUUGAGGCUCGAAAGCGUGGGGAGCAAACAGGAUUAGAUACCCCUGUAGUC